UGGGGAAUAUUGCACAAUGGGCGCAAGCCUGAUGCAGCCAUGCCGCGUGUGUGAAGAAGGCCUUCGGGUUGUAAGGCACUUUCAGCGAGGAGGAAGGUGGUGAGCUUAAUACGCUCAUCAAUUGACGUUACUCGCAGAAGAAGCACCGGCUAACUCCGUGCCAGCAGCCGCGGUAAUACGGAGGGUGCAAGCGUUAACCGGAAUUACUGGGCGUAAAGCGCACGCAGGCGGUUUGUUAAGUCAGAUGUGAAAUCCCCGGGCUCAACCUGGGAACUGCAUUUGAAACUGGCAAGCUAGAGUCUCGUAGAGGGGGGUAGAAUUCCAGGUGUAGCGGUGAAAUGCGUAGAGAUCUGGAGGAAUACCGGUGGCGAAGGCGGCCCCCUGGACGAAGACUGACGCUCAGGUGCGAAAGCGUGGGGCAGCAAACAGGAUUAGAUACCCUGGUAGUCCAGCGCUGUAAAACGAUGUCGAUUUUGGAGGUUGUGCCCUUGAGGCGUGGCUUCCGGAGCUAACGCGUUAAAUCGACCGCCUGGGGAGUACGGCCGCAAGGUUAAAACUC
RNAcentral lists this ribosomal RNA (559 nucleotides) under uncultured bacterium. Its description in RNAcentral is "partial 16S ribosomal RNA". It matches the Rfam family "Bacterial small subunit ribosomal RNA", at positions 355 to 902 of the family's 1533-position model. The record is from RNAcentral.